AGUGAACGCUGGCGGUAGGCCUAACACAUGCAAGUCGAACGGCAGCACAGGAGAGCUUGCUCUCUGGGUGGCGAGUGGCGGACGGGUGAGGAAUGCAUCGGAAUCUACUUUUUCGUGGGGGAUAACGUAGGGAAACUUACGCUAAUACCGCAUACGACCUACGGGUGAAAGCAGGGGACCUUCGGGCCUUGCGCGAUUGAAUGAGCCGAUGUCGGAUUAGCUAGUUGGCGGGGUAAAGGCCCACCAAGGCGACGAUCCGUAGCUGGUCUGAGAGGAUGAUCAGCCACACUGGAACUGAGACACGGUCCAGACUCCUACGGGAGGCAGCAGUGGGGAAUAUUGGACAAUGGGCGCAAGCCUGAUCCAGCCAUACCGCGUGGGUGAAGAAGGCCUUCGGGUUGUAAAGCCCUUUUGUUGGGAAAGAAAUCCAGCUGGCUAAUACCCGGUUGGGAUGACGGUACCUAAAGAAUAAGCACCGGCUAACUUCGUGCCAGCAGCCGCUGUAA
Molecule: ribosomal RNA, 506 nt
Filed under: uncultured bacterium
Lineage: Bacteria
Description: partial 16S ribosomal RNA
Rfam family: Bacterial small subunit ribosomal RNA
Source: RNAcentral